This 673-nucleotide long non-coding RNA is filed under the name Ananas comosus (pineapple). RNAcentral's name for it is "long non-coding RNA (ACOM_LNC023723)". Lineage: Eukaryota; Viridiplantae; Streptophyta; Magnoliopsida; Poales; Bromeliaceae. The record is from RNAcentral.
AAGUUGGGAGUCUAAUGAUAGCAUUGCUGUAAUUUCUUAAAUGCUAAAAUAGUGAGUUACAAAUAUGGCUGGGGCUACUAUACUCUUAUGAGUAUAGACCCCUUUCUACUCAUAAAUUUUUAACCAUUGAUUGAUAGAAUGUGUGGUUAGGAUAAUUGUGGUCCCCACUUAGAAUGAUAGUGAUCUCCUAGGGUUGAAUGGGUAGUUAGUUGAAUAGUAUAAUAUAAUGGGUGAAAAUGAUCAAUGAAAUAAAUCUAAGGGCCGAAAACUUAUGAGUAUAAAGGAACCAAUACUCAUAAAAAUAUAGUAGCUGGACUCUUACAAGUAUAUAUGUUGUAUUAUCAUGGUUAAUUUAUACAUUAGGAUAAGUUGUGUACUAAAUGUGAUAUGAUGGUUUAGGAGGCGUCUAUCGGUAAAAGCUAGAGCAAAGUAAUUAAAAGUUUGUAGUGAAGUGUUUGUUAGCUUAAUUUAAUGACGAGUAUUACAGAUUCACAAUAGAUAUCCGAAGGAUAUCCUCUGUUGGUUGACAAAUAAGAAAAAUAGUUUGGUAAUAAGCGCCGGCUGAUAAGCGCAACUGCAUAAAGAUAUAGUGUUGUAUCUCACAUAAAGAAAUUUAAAUAUGGUAAAAUUCUAUUUUCAUACUAGCCAAUUAAUUCUAUUCAAUAAAUCCUUC